This 253-nucleotide ribosomal RNA is filed under the name uncultured bacterium. Its description in RNAcentral is "partial 16S ribosomal RNA". It matches the Rfam family "Bacterial small subunit ribosomal RNA", at positions 524 to 776 of the family's 1533-position model. The record is from RNAcentral.
UACGGGGGGGGCAAGCGUUGUUCGGAAUUACUGGGCGUAAAGGGCUCGUAGGCGGCCAACUAAGUCAGACGUGAAAUCCCUCGGCUUAACCGGGGAGCUGCGUCUGAUACUGGAUGGCUUGAAUCCGGGAGAGGGAUGCGGAAUUCCAGGUGUAGCGGUGAAAUGCGUAGAUAUCUGGAGGAACACCGGUGGCGAAGGCGGCAUCCUGGACCGGCAUUGACGCUGAGGAGCGAAAGCCAGGGGAGCAAACGGG